GGGCUGCUGAAUAUCUUCUGAAGAGUACUUCUUUCUACCAAAACAAAGGAGAAAAGUUAGCCAAAAGGUACACAGGUGGAGAUAAUAUGAUCUAAUCCACUCAGUCCAACAAUUGUUCAUCAACACUGACCACAUCUAGCAAUGACAGUGUAGUUCAAUCUCCAUCUACCAGGAUGUCAAUCAAUGACAAUUACAACGAUAAAUGUUCUCGUGUGGACUUCUGUCCACUAAAGGAAAGCUUCAUGGAACUGUUAAUGAUGAGAAAAGUGGAUGAUGGAACAUCUCUAGGUGUACUAAGCAAAGAAUUAUGUGAAAAGUAAGAACCUGAUGCACCAAAAUACCCCACUCUGCUGACAGGCAGAAGCUUUAUGCACGUUCUGGACUCCAUAGUGGUGAUGACUACUUCAUCUGCACAAGUGACACAAGAUGACACUGAGGAAAAAUAUUUCCUUUUCUAUGGUAGUAAACUGUAAAAGUAAGUACAGUGCAUCAUUUUCUUUCCCUGAUUCCUCAGUGCCCACCUUGCCAGAUAUUCUUUAAAAAGUAUUUGGGCAUCCCUGCUCAAGAAACCAACACUUUACUGUAACAUUAUUGUUAACUAUUUUAUGUUAUUCAAUCUUCUUUUUAAUAAAGGCCAAUGAAAAAUUUAUACUGAUACAAAUAUGAAAGUUUCCUGAAUUCAGAAAGUUUCCAUACUUCUGGAUAAUGAGGCUAGAGGGAUGGAUAGGAUAGAAAAUCAUCACUGAAACUAUGUCUAUACUGCAGAGUUUUUUCGGAAAAAUG
Non-coding RNA from Pelodiscus sinensis (Chinese soft-shelled turtle), 783 nucleotides. Lineage: Eukaryota; Metazoa; Chordata; Testudines; Trionychidae. The record is from RefSeq and is a predicted model, not a curated record.